UACGAAAAAUACAAACGUUACUCGGAAUCAUUGGGCGUAAAGCGCACGUAGGCGGCUCCAAAAGUCGAAUAUGAAAUCCCUCGGCUCAACCGAGGACGUGCAUCCGAAACUGCGGAGCUUGAGUAUGGAAGAGGGUCGCGGAAUCCCCAGUGUAGAGGUGAAAUUCGUAAAUAUCGGGGAGAACACCAGUGGCGAAGGCGGCGACCUGGACCAAUACUAACGCUGAGGUGCGAAAGCGUAGGGAGCAAAC
Molecule: ribosomal RNA, 250 nt
Filed under: uncultured bacterium
Lineage: Bacteria
Description: partial 16S ribosomal RNA
Rfam family: Bacterial small subunit ribosomal RNA
Source: RNAcentral